UGUCAACUCUGUGUGGUGUCCAAG
Molecule: non-coding RNA, 24 nt
Filed under: Arabidopsis thaliana (thale cress)
Lineage: Eukaryota; Viridiplantae; Streptophyta; Magnoliopsida; Brassicales; Brassicaceae
Source: RNAcentral